Molecule: ribosomal RNA, 259 nt
Filed under: uncultured bacterium
Lineage: Bacteria
Description: partial 16S ribosomal RNA
Rfam family: Bacterial small subunit ribosomal RNA
Source: RNAcentral
UACGAAGGGUGCAAACGUUGCUCGGAAUUAUUGGGCGUAAAGCGCACGUAGGCGGUUCGUCGCGUCGGCUGUGAAAACCUGAGGCUCAACCUCAGGCCUGCAGUCGAUACGGGCGGACUUGAGUACUGCAGGGGAGACUGGAAUUCCUGGUGUAGCGGUGAAAUGCGCAGAUAUCAGGAGGAACACCGGUGGCGAAGGCGGGUCUCUGGGCCGAUACUGACGCUGAGGAGCGAAAGCGUGGGGAGCGAACAGGAUUAGA